RNAcentral lists this ribosomal RNA (433 nucleotides) under uncultured bacterium. RNAcentral describes it as "partial 16S ribosomal RNA". It matches the Rfam family "Bacterial small subunit ribosomal RNA", at positions 29 to 507 of the family's 1533-position model. The record is from RNAcentral.
AACGAACGCUGGCGGCAUGCCUAACACAUGCAAGUCGAACGAGACCUUCGGGUCUAGUGGCGCACGGGUGCGUAACACGUGGGAAUCUGCCCUUUGCUUCGGAAUAACAGUUAGAAAUGACUGCUAAUACCGGAUGAUGUCGAAAGACCAAAGAUUUAUCGGCAAAGGAUGAGCCCGCGUAGGAUUAGGUAGUUGGUGGGGUAAAGGCCUACCAAGCCGACGAUCCUUAGCUGGUCUGAGAGGAUGAUCAGCCACACUGGGACUGAGACACGGCCCAGACUCCUACGGGAGGCAGCAGUGGGGAAUAUUGAACAAUGGGCGAAAGCCUGAUCCAGCAAUGCCGCGUGAGUGAUGAAGGCCUUAGGGUUGUAAAGCUCUUUUACCAGGGAUGAUAAUGACAGUACCUGGAGAAUAAGCUCCGGCUAACUCCGUG